This 383-nucleotide ribosomal RNA is filed under the name uncultured eukaryote. Its description in RNAcentral is "partial 18S ribosomal RNA". It matches the Rfam family "Eukaryotic small subunit ribosomal RNA", at positions 592 to 976 of the family's 1831-position model. The record is from RNAcentral.
CAAUAGCGUAUAUUAAAGUUGUUGCAGUUAAAAAGCUCGUAGUUGGAUUUCUGGUAGGAGUGACCGUUCCGAACUUGAUUGUUCGUGUAUUGUGUUUUAUCCAGCCAUCCUUGUGGAGAACUUUUCUUGCAUUAAUUUGUAGGGAUUGGGACCCGCAUCGUUUACUGUGAAAAAAUUAGAGUGUUUAAAGCAGGCAAUCGCUUGAAUACAUUAGCAUGGAAUAAUAAGAUAGGACUUUGGUACUAUUUUGUUGGUUUGCAUACCAAAUUAAUGAUCAACAGGAACAGUUUGAGGAUAUUCGUAUGAACAUGUCAGAGGUGAAAUUCUUGGAUUUUGAUCAGACGAACUACUGCGAAAGCAUUUAUCAAGGAUGUUUUCAUUAA